RNAcentral lists this ribosomal RNA (254 nucleotides) under uncultured bacterium. RNAcentral describes it as "partial 16S ribosomal RNA". It matches the Rfam family "Bacterial small subunit ribosomal RNA", at positions 524 to 776 of the family's 1533-position model. The record is from RNAcentral.
UACGGGGGGGGCAAGCGUUGUUCGGAAUUACUGGGCGUAAAGGGCUCGUAGGCGGCCAACUAAGUCAGACGUGAAAUCCCUCGGCUUAACCGGGGAACUGCGUCUGAUACUGGAUGGCUUGAGUUUGGGAGAGGGAUGCGGAAUUCCAGGUGUAGCGGUGAAAUGCGUAGAUAUCUGGAGGAACACCGGUGGCGAAGGCGGCGAUCCUGGACCAACACUGACGCUGAGGAGCGAAAGCCAGGGGAGCAAACGGG